UACGUAGGGGGCAAGCGUUGUCCGGAUUUAUUGGGCGUAAAGAGCUCGUAGGUGGUUCGGUAAGUCGGAUGUGAAAUCUCCAGGCUCAACCUGGAGGGGUCAUUCGAUACUGCCGUGACUAGAGGUCGGUAGGGGAGUGUGGAAUUCCUGGUGGAGCGGUGAAAUGCGCAGAUAUCAGGAGGAACACCCGUAGCGAAGGCGGGUCUCUGGGCCGAUACUGACGCUGAGGAGCGAAAGCGUGGGGAGCGAACAGG
RNAcentral lists this ribosomal RNA (254 nucleotides) under uncultured bacterium. RNAcentral's name for it is "partial 16S ribosomal RNA". It matches the Rfam family "Bacterial small subunit ribosomal RNA", at positions 524 to 776 of the family's 1533-position model. The record is from RNAcentral.